UUUUUUUUUUUUUUUUUUUUCUGUCUUUUGUCUUUUUAGAGCCGCACCCACGGCAUAUAGAGGUUCCUAGGCUAGGGUUAGAAACGGAGCUGUAGCCACCAGCCUAUGCCAGAGCCACGGCAACGCCAGAUCCUUAACCCACUGAGCAAGGCCAGAGAUCGAACCCGCAACCUCAUGGUUCCUAGUCAGAUUCGUUUCUACUGUGCCACAAUGGGAACUCCUAGAAGACAUAUUUCUGAGCAGAAACAGUGUUUAUUAAUGCUGGUAGCAUAAUACUAUUUGGCUCUGUUUUAUUGCUCUUAGUUAUUAUGUCCUCUUUCCCUCAUUUCCUUAACCUUCUGUGCAAUUUAAAACAAAGAGCAAACAGUCUUCUGUAGGAGACAGGAUAGCACAUCAGAGACUGAAAGAUAUGUGAGUUGUUAUUUUUAUCACUUACUAACUUGUAAUACACAUUUCUUCCUGGUUACAAAUUUAUUACAUACAGGUUAUCAUUUGGGCAUGCUGUCUAAUAAAUAAGUUAUUACAUCGAUCUACCUUAAAAUAAGAGUAUUUCAGGAGUUGAUUUUAUAUUAGGAAGUGGAUGCCAAAAACUCCAUUAGGAAGAAGCCAGGACAUUAGUGUUUCUGCAGUUGUUGAUCAUCUUCUGCUGCUUCUCCUGCCAAGGUUCUGUCUGGCUGAGGAUCUCUGAGGGAGAUGAAGCUUCUGUGUAUGAGCUACCAAAUUAUAUAGGUCAGAUCAAAACUUGAAAUAUAACUUUCUUUAAUUGGAAAAAAAUGACAUUUAUAGUAUUUGCAGCCCAGUUUGAGCAGCCCCAUCUCUGAGCCACAGUUUUUCUUCUGUGACCUGCAAGGCCAAAGUGAGGGUCACACAGAAGUGUCUAAAUUAUAAGGAACCAUGAUAGAGGUAUUAUAUGGUAGAGAGGGAGUUUCCAUCAACAUGCAAUUGCUGAAAAAUAUUUUAAAUAAAUGCCCAAUAGGAGGACAUUUAUUUAUUUAUUUAUUUAUUUAUUAUUUUGCUUUUUAGGGCUGCACCCACUGCAUAUGGAGGUUCCCAGGCCAGGGGUUGAAUAGGAGAUGCAGCUGAUGGCCUAGCCACAGCCACAGCAAUGUGGGAUCCAAGACGUUUUUGUGACCUACACCACAGCUCAUGGCAACGUCAGAUCCUAACCCACUGAGCAAGGCCAGGGAUGGAACCCUCAUCCUCACGGAUCCUAGUUGGGAUCGUUAACCACUGAGCCACGAAGGGAACUCCCAGGAGGACAUUUAAAUAGGAAAAGUAAUUUUCCAUAUUCUCAAGUAGACUUUUAAAAUUAGAGCACUAUAUUGAAGUAUAAGUUGAUUUUUAAAAUUGAUGAUAUUUGAUAAUAUCAAAAUCUAUACAUUUUCUUUUCCUUUUUUUUCUUUUUUUUUGGUCUUUUGUCUUUUUAGGGCUGCAUCUGCAGCAUAUGGAGGUUCCCAGGCUAAGGGCCUAAUUGGAGCUGUUGCUAUCAGCCUAUGCCAUAGCCACAGCAAUGCCAGAUCUGAGCCACGUCUGCAACCUACACCACAGCUCAUGGCAACGCCAGAUCCUUAACCCACUGAACGAGACCAGGGAUUGAACCCGAAACCUCAUUGUUCCUAGUUGGAUUCCUUUUUGCUGCGCCAAGACGGGAACUCCAAAAUCUAUACAUUUUCAUAUCAAUUCAGUUCUCAGUUUUUUAUUUGACUAUCUGUGGUGGCUCAAGCUAAUCUUUCUGUUUCAGUGUGUAAACAACAUUUUAUUUUUAAAAAGGCAAUUCAUAUUUUUAACACAAGUUAAAAAAAUGAGGUUCCAAUAUUAUGACAUUAUAUAUAGUAAGCUGCUCUAGUUGAUAAUGUUAAUGGUACUAAGCUGUAAAUUCCUUCAAAACAAUACUAUUUUUUUUAAACUCAACAUAUACUCUAAUUUAAAACAUAAUCCUGAUAAUUCAACUCUAGGUCUUGAGAAACCUGUAAUUCCUGAGCCUUAUUUGCAUACUUAUAUUUUUUGAUUAAUGGAUUUAUGUAUGAUGAAAUUAUUUACAUUUUUAAAGAUUAUGUUUAAUGUGACUGCCCAGAGCAAAGGCGAUAAAAAACAAACAAACAAAGAAAAAACAAAACCUUUUUGGAGACUGUCAUGAAAACUUAUGGAACCCUAUAGAGAUGACACAGAUUUAAUUGUUUGGGAAAAAAGUUUUAGCCAAAUCUAGUUAUAUCAGGCAUCAGAAGAGUUAGAAAAAAUAUACAAGGCCAACCUAAACUUUUACUGCAUCCUUAAUUUUGUUUGAUAUUUUGUCAAGGAAAUUGUUACCAAUUCACACACUCAGUAACUAUUAUAUACAGGUGGUUUGCCUGUAGAUACAUGAACAUAUACACCUGAUUUGCAGCAUAGUGAUAUAAAAUACAUAUGUUGGCUACAUUCUCCUGAGUCUAAAUAUGUGAGAGGAAGAUUUGAUGAAUCACUUUAUACAAGCAUAACAAAAGCAUGGGUUUCUCCCGCAUGCCUCAUAUAUAGCAAAAGAGCAAAGAAUGUUCUGUCAAUUUGUGACCCCAUAAUUUUGCAGUCUUUUAUAAGGAAAUAAAUAUUGCAAUAAGAUAAUGUUGCUGUAAAUAAAUAGUUAAUGUUUCUGUUUCUACAGCAUAUAACAAUCUACUGCAUAGAUGCUGUUGAAUGAAAGGCACUGUUACAUUAUAUUUAAGAUAGUGUAAAUAAAUGUUGGAACUCGUAGAAGCAGGUUACACUGACUCACUCUAAAGGGUUUGCUGUGCACUCUGUACAAACACUUAUAAAAAAUGUAAAACUAGACUAACCAUAGAACUGCAAUGGAUUUGGACCCAUUUGCCUUGCUUAUGUAGAAAUUUACUUAUCACUGGAACUCUAUUUCUAAAGCUGGCACUUCGCUACUAAAAUGGGAUUUACAAACACUUUAAAAUUUAAGAUAAGAGCCUAUAAAUUCUCAUGACAUUCUUAAAACUAAUUUUCUUGGUAUUUAAGGAGCAAGCACAGCAAACCUACUGAAGUGAGUUAAAAUAAAUUUCCAUUUUGGUCCUAUGGCUUUACAUUUUUUGUACUCUGAAUGUGUGUGUGUGUGUGUCUGAUCCACUGUGAAGACGUUAACUGCUGGUAGCCGCAUUCAUUACUUAAGUCUGUUUAUGCAUUUGCCUAGAUUUUUAAAACAUUAUUUUUGCAGAUAGAUUUCAUCAGAUUGUAUGCUUACUGGUUUCACAGAUGGAGAGCUACGAUUCGUUCACAUUUAGAUAUUUCAAAAGUCUGUAUGUUACAAAACUGUCCGUGAUGUGACGGUCACAUUCAGCCUUUACCCACCUCCCUGAAAAAGAAAAAAGUCUUCUCAAAAUUCCUUUAAAGUAGAUCCAAUGAAUAUGAUAUUCUUAAAAAAAAUGGUCGGUGUCUGUCUGUAUAAUAACAUUACACCAGAACAUGAAUUCUAAGUAAAUGAGUUUCCUUCCACUCCCUAACCCAGUGGGGUAAUUUGAAAUUUUUAAAGGCAAAAGCCACAUGGUUUUACCUCCUACAGAUAAUAGGAGCUCUGCUUUCUCUUCCUAAGUGGAUGUUGCUGUGGAUUUCCAUCACCAGAAUCACUGUGGUGUCUAUAGCUUCAUAAAUCAUCAUCUUCAUCAGCUCGUCCACAUACACUCAUGUAAAUGAGCUCCUUGACAACUUAAUUUGGAAAAGAAAUCUUCAUUCUCUCUUCUUAAUGCCUAAGCAGGACUCCCCAGGGUUAGAAUGCUGCUUUGCACUGGAGCUGUCCUGGCAGAAGGGAAGCUGCUUAUUAAUGAGCACUCCCAGUCUUGCAACCUAACUUGUGUUACUUUUCCCUCACAAUGUUCAGGAAUGCUGACUUCCUUUUCAAAAUCCAUUUUAGGUGGCAAAAAAAAAUUGUUUGAGUUGAAUAUUGGCAAUAUAUUGGAACAUGCACCUCUUAUUUUGCCUAAGCAUCACUUUACUCAUGUGAAAAUAUCAUUUUACGCAUGUGAAAAUAUCAAUCUCUCAUACCUUCAAAGUCCAAUGGACUAUACAGUGUCUUAAUAUUUCCUUGGCUUUGUAUUACAAAUAAGAAUUUAUUGUGAUUCUGGGUGCACUGUUAUUAUGGAAUGAACUAAAAAUAAUAUCUAAAGUGUAACUAAAUUAACAAAAAAAUUGGCAAAUUCUUACUGCUAAAAUUCCUCAUUUGCUGUAUUUUUACAUGGCUCUUAAACAUGCUUACCAGCUUUAAAAUUAAUAUUCAAAUUAAUAUUUAUCUUUGAAUGGAUAACUUUUUUUCGCAGUCAUGUCACUGUUGCAUCAUAAAUAGUACACUUCCCAAAAGAAAUUAAUCACUGACAAACAACUUUAGGACAUGACAACAUGAUACUUUUUUCAUUUUGCCAAGCAUCGUGCCAAGAUAUCAGCAUAACUUUGUUCUGAAAUUGUAAACUGUUGGUGGAGAAAGCAAUUAUAUUACUUACAAAAAUGAUCUAUUGGGAAGAGGGUGUAGAUAUUUCCUUUUCAUUCCAAAACAUUUGCAGAUUGCUGCCUAGGGGCCACAGAAUGUGCUUAGGGAUAAUGAUAGAAAAAUAAAAACGUAAUCGGUGUGUGACAAGAGAGCUUCUAGGCCUGGAUGGAAAUGGUGUUCAAAACUAGCCUGGAGGAUAUCCAGUUAAACUGAUGGUGAAGCGGUGGCUGGGGUGGGUGUGGGAAGAACCUUAGACAUUUGAAUGCAUACUGACUACAGUUAAUAGUGUAAUUUCUAUUUUCAUAUAUGAGGCAGAGAAUGUAUUUGGCAUUGGCACUGAAUACUGAAUAUCAGUUGAUCUCCUGACUUGAAGGUCCCCCCAUUACCUUGGCUCCCUUGGUGAAAAUGAUUGGGUAUUUGGCAGAUGAAUGCCAGCAUAGAGCUCAUGAACAAAGCUUGGGAGUAUUAAAGUAGCCAGAUGCAAGGAACUGCCAUUGUUUGAAUACGUGAAGAUUAAACCACAAUAGUCCUU
RNAcentral lists this long non-coding RNA (4982 nucleotides) under Sus scrofa (pig). RNAcentral's name for it is "lncRNA (ENSSSCG00000054752.1)". Lineage: Eukaryota; Metazoa; Chordata; Mammalia; Artiodactyla; Suidae. The record is from RNAcentral.